UACGUAGGGGGCAAGCGUUGUCCGGAAUUAUUGGGCGUAAAGAGCGCGUAGGCGGUCCGGUAAGUCGGUUGUGAAAGUCGGGGGCUCAACCCUCGGAUGCCGAUCGAUACUGUCGGGCUAGAGUCCGGAAGAGGCGAGUGGAAUUCCUGGUGUAGCGGUGAAAUGCGCAGAUAUCAGGAGGAACACCAAUAGCGAAGGCAGCUCGCUGGGACGGUACUGACGCUAAGGCGCGAAAGCGUGGGGAGCAAACAGG
RNAcentral lists this ribosomal RNA (253 nucleotides) under uncultured bacterium. RNAcentral's name for it is "partial 16S ribosomal RNA". It matches the Rfam family "Bacterial small subunit ribosomal RNA", at positions 524 to 776 of the family's 1533-position model. The record is from RNAcentral.